This is a long non-coding RNA of Lycium barbarum (goji berry), 1414 nucleotides long. RefSeq lists it as uncharacterized. The transcript has 2 exons. Lineage: Eukaryota; Viridiplantae; Streptophyta; Magnoliopsida; Solanales; Solanaceae. The record is from RefSeq and is a predicted model, not a curated record.
AGAUUGGCAAGGCUGGAGAAUUGCUUUUAGGGUAAAAAACUGACUUCCCUCCCUAAAAUUUCCCCUCAUCAAUUCAGAAAGGCAAGGCUGGAGAUUUUUCUCCUCCCUAACCCCUCGAUCAAUUAGAUUCAAUUAUUUCGGUGACAGUCUCAGGUAGGGGCCCUUGUUGUUAUGCAUACCUUCUGUGACACUGUUCGUGUGGGUGUGAAACCCUAAAUAUUCUAGAGCAGAAUCAAAGUCAUGGAAGUUCCAAGAGAACUGAUAGGACCGAGUAACUUGAUCCAGAAGAAAAUGCAAUUGAGAAGGAUGAAAUUUCAGGAGACGUAAUGGAGCCGAAGAUUGUGACGGAGUUACCCAAAUAACCCUAAGGUCAUCUCAGAGCCAGAAAAUCUAUACAGUUAUUUCCUUUUGCAAAUCCUCCAAGACUCGAACUUAGUUUAUAUUUUAAAAGCUCUAUAAGUUUUAUGAUAGUCUUAGUUCUAGACUAUAGAGAAAUAGGAAUUAGUUUUAUUCACAUUUUAUGAUUUUGUGAAGCAUUAGAAGUCUUUGAGACCCUACAUCCUUGAUGCAGUCAUAUGCACAAAACACAGGUCAUCUUUGAUAGGCUCUUACAUGAAAUGAGUGUGUAUCUUGUUAUAUGUAUAAAUUAAUUCUUUUUCACUAUGUGUAUCCAUAAUUCGAGCCACAAGCAAUUAGAACUCGCAGAACGUGUUUUAGAUCUGCCUUUUGGCACCUUAUUUUAGUGCCUAACCAUAAAUACUAGGUGGGAUGAAUUGAUAUUUUAACAAAUAGUCUCCAAGUACCUACUUAAUUAUGAGGAACAUACUGCAUAACAUGGUCAGGGUAUAAAGAGCUGAGAGUGCAUAUAGCUGGUGUAGAAGCACUUCAUCUAGUCAGUAUUUGAGAAUGAAGAUGAACUUGUAUAUCAUAGUUAUACAGAUCUUGUUAACUUGUAGACAAAUAAAUGGUAGAGAAACUCAGAUUAGGAAGUGAUAGUUCUCUUAGUAAGUGUUGCUGCUUCUGCUUUUUGCUUGGUUCUAAGUCACUCGCCUGUGCCAUUGUCAGCUCUUAUGCUCACUAUCAAAUUUAUAUCUUCCUUAAAAUUGUGCUCUGUUUUGUUGGAGAUAUGUUCCAAAUAUUGUUGUUGUCACUGUCAAUUUGGUAAUUUUGUUAGUGUAUUAGGUGAGAUUCUGUCCCAUAAUGCAUAAUUUUUUAGUCUCGUACUCUUGUUAGCUAGAUGUACUUCCAUGUUUGGGUGUCAAACUAGAGAGUUUUGUGUAAGUUAUAAGCUAUUACGUGAUUUCUACUUUUGCUAGCUAUCGUCUUGCUAUUAUUAAUUUGUAUAUAGUCAGUUCCUUCUAACGUACGUGUAAGUCUAUCAAUUGACAUGAUUAGACUAAUGGAAUGCUGCUUG